Molecule: ribosomal RNA, 439 nt
Filed under: uncultured bacterium
Lineage: Bacteria
Description: bacterial SSU rRNA
Rfam family: Bacterial small subunit ribosomal RNA
Source: RNAcentral
CCUACGGGCGGCUGCAGUGGGGAAUUUUGGGCAAUGGGGGAGACCCUGACCCAGCGACGCCGCGUGCGGGACGAAGGCCUUCGGGUCGUAAACCGCUUUUGUACGGGAAGAUAGUGACGGUACCGUGCGAAUAAGUCCCGGCUAACUACGUGCCAGCAGCCGCGGUAACACGUAGGGGACGAGCGUUGUCCGGAAUUACUGGGCGUAAAGGGCGCGCAGGCUGUGCGGCGAGUCGGCUGUAGAAAGGCGGGGCUCAACCCCGUUCCGCGGUCGAGACCGUCGUGCUGGAGUACUGCAGAGGCAAGCGGAAUUCCCGGUGUAGCGGUGAAAUGCGUAGAUAUCGGGAGGAACAUCGGUGGCGAAGGCGGCUUGCUGGGCAGUAACUGACGCUGAGGCGCGAAAGCCGGGGGAGCGAACGGGCUUAGAUACCCGGGUAGUC